This is a long non-coding RNA of Mastomys coucha (southern multimammate mouse), 550 nucleotides long. RefSeq lists it as uncharacterized. The record is from RefSeq and is a predicted model, not a curated record. Lineage: Eukaryota; Metazoa; Chordata; Mammalia; Rodentia; Muridae. The transcript has 2 exons.
GUGUGGGGUGUGUGUGGGGGGGGGUCUUCAAAAGACCUUCACCUGAAAUCCAUUAUGCACUCCUAACUUCCACUGUCUGUGAGAGAUUUGGGGAGAUGCUAGACUAUAUACCAUGUGGAAGGCUUAUUGAAAAGAGGACUCCAUGACACAGCAUCCAUGAGAUCAUGCUCCAUGAUCAAGUGGGACCCUGUGGUGAGAGAACUGCACUGGGGUCACUCAUACUCCUCCAACCUCCCUGCAACAAGAGCAGCACAGCAGAACACACAAGGAAAAGUGGGCCAAAAGAAGGCUUGAGGUGCCGUGUAGCAUAUCAACAGGUUUGCAGACCGUAAAGCAUCACAUGGCACACCGUUCUAUAGAGAGAUCAGACCGAAGAUCGAAGUCUCCAACUAAGAUUCCAGAAUGAAAAGGCAUGUUCGAGCAAGUGUUAAAUUCUAGGUUCUACCCAAAGUUCUUUCCCUGCACUGCUCAAUGACCCUAGACCAGUGACUAGCUCUUGCCCACCUGUAAAAUAAAAGGCUGGUGGAGGUCCUUAUGAACACCCUGAAAA